AUUGAACGCUGGCGGCAUGCUUUACACAUGCAAGUCGGACGGCAGCACAGAGAAGCUUGCUUCUUGGGUGGCGAGUGGCGAACGGGUGAGUAAUAUAUCGGAACGUACCGAGUAAUGGGGGAUAACUAAUCGAAAGAUUAGCUAAUACCGCAUAUUCUUGAGGAGGAAAGCAGGGGACCUUCGGGCCUUGCGUUAUUUGAGCGGCCGAUAUCUGAUUAGCUAGUUGGUGGGGUAAAGGCCUACCAAGGCGACGAUCAGUAGCGGGUCUGAGAGGAUGAUCCGCCACACUGGGACUGAGACACGGCCCAGACUCCUACGGGAGGCAGCAGUGGGGAAUUUUGGACAAUGGGCGCAAGCCUGAUCCAGCCAUGCCGCGUGUCUGAAGAAGGCCUUCGGGUUGUAAAGGACUUUUGUCAGGGAAGAAAAGGACAGGGUUAAUACCCCCUGUCUGAUGACGGUACCUGAAAGAUAAAGCCCC
RNAcentral lists this ribosomal RNA (478 nucleotides) under Neisseria subflava. RNAcentral describes it as "bacterial SSU rRNA". It matches the Rfam family "Bacterial small subunit ribosomal RNA", at positions 30 to 494 of the family's 1533-position model. The record is from RNAcentral. Lineage: Bacteria; Pseudomonadati; Pseudomonadota; Betaproteobacteria; Neisseriales; Neisseriaceae.